This 444-nucleotide long non-coding RNA is filed under the name Physcomitrium patens. Its description in RNAcentral is "long non-coding RNA (PPAT_LNC010159)". The record is from RNAcentral. Lineage: Eukaryota; Viridiplantae; Streptophyta; Bryopsida; Funariales; Funariaceae.
AUCUCUUGGAGCUUUAGCUCACCUCUCUGGUGUUGUUCUUGUAUUCAUUUGAUUAAUCUAGUUCUUGCCAGUUCUUCUUGAACUUCUUGGUAGAUAUCAAGUUUGUAUUCUGUGUACAUGACAGUUUGUCGAGACUUCACUCAAUUUAGAUAUCAGAGCUAGUUCUUCUUUGUUAGAGUGUGGAUUACCCCUCUACUUGGAAGUGUACUAGCAUUUUAGAGGUUGCGGAUUACCCUCCUCUAAAUUGAUACUUCUUUUGUUACAAUAUUGGAGUCUUAUUCUUCUUGGAGAGAGUGGAUUACCCCUUUUCAUGAAGCUCUUAAGGCAUUUUAGAGGUUGCGGAGUACCCUCCUCUAAACCAAUAUUGUCUUCUUGUAGAGUCAUUUCUGUCCUUCUCUUAGAAUGGCCGGGGGUCAAGACAUUAGUAUGAUGGAAAGUUCAGAG